Caenorhabditis elegans is the source of this 140-nucleotide non-coding RNA. The record is from Ensembl. NCBI's taxonomy places the organism in Eukaryota, Metazoa, Nematoda, Chromadorea, Rhabditida, Rhabditidae.
GUAAAGUGAGCAAUCAGUUAGUCAUCAGAAGUCUCUCUCUUUCUAUCUGUCCAUUAGUGUGAGAUGUAACCAAAGUCGUACACACACCAAACGCAUUACACUAUAACACGGGACCCCCUUUUUCCCUUCCCGUAGGGUUC